This 497-nucleotide long non-coding RNA is filed under the name Fukomys damarensis (Damara mole-rat). RNAcentral's name for it is "lncRNA (ENSFDAG00000032761.1)". The record is from RNAcentral. Lineage: Eukaryota; Metazoa; Chordata; Mammalia; Rodentia; Bathyergidae.
CAGGAUUGGGAUCAGAGUUUCACAUGCUAACCAGUCAUUUUUGCUUUUCUUGUAUGCUGUUAACUCACCUUCUUUUCAUCCAGUUGUUGUCACUUUGGAAAGAUACAUUAUCUGGGACCUUAGGGACUUACUUAUUGUCUGUCUCCUCUGCUAGACUGUUGGAUCCUUGAAGGCAGAGACCAUGCCUGCCUUGUUUACUUGAUUCACCGCUCAGCUCAUAGAAAACACUCAAUUGUUGUCUGUGGAAGGAAGGAAGAGACCUGGCAUUUGGGAAAUUUGGAACUUCAGAAGAGCUGCUUGGGACUCUCCUGUCCUCACCCAAACCAGGACAAUGCAGUUCUCAUUACCCGUGCUUCUGUGUCUCACCUGAUGCUCUCCAUGACACCAGGAAAAAGGAAGGACAGCAGUAUGUUUCUGGGUUUAUAAAUGAGGAAAUAGAGGCUUAGGGAGGAUGGCUUGGUCACUUUCUCAUUGUGGGGGCAACCCCCCACCAAAAA